AAAUAUCCGCAUCAUGUAUAUAAGUAGCCUAUGUAUCUAAUAUGCCUGUCAUUGUAUAUAAUAAGCCUGUCAUUUUCUUCUUAUUUGGGACAAAAAUUAUUUCAGAACGUAGCAUCCUAAAAUUCCAUUCCUAAGGUUCCGAUCACUGGCUCAAGUGGGAUCUGCCCAUGGUCUGCUUUUCUUCCCUUGUCAAAGCUGACUUUCCCACUCUCUAACCUUACACAGUAAACAAAAAGAUGGAAAAGUUUACGAAAGAGCGAGUGGACGAGUGGUGGCAGCAGCAAUGCAGUGGUGAUGGGUCUUGUGAAGACAUUAUGUCCAGCCACUUCCAACAACAAUUCAGCAUUGCAGAUGCAAUGAACUCUGCUGGAGCAUCUAAAGGUCUGCAGAAGAAGAUUAUUAUGGCUGGAGGAAUUAUAAAGGGGAAACUGUAAGUGAAAAGGGGGUUCAGUGUUUCACCUUUUCCCUGCCCCUUGCCUGCCUCAGAUCGACUUCUCUUGGUAUAAGAAACAGCCACAUGAAUUUUCUCACAUGGAUCUCAGUUGAAUAUGUACUUUGGCUGCAAACAAUAUUAUUUUCAAGGAUGUAAAUUUUAAAAUAAUUGGUUUUAUAAGCUAGAUCAAAUAAGAGGCAGGAAUGGUGUGGGAAUAGAGCUUGAUUUUCAAAAAAUCUGUCUGGUAAGUAUACAUGUUUAGCCUCACAAAAUGUAUACCAUUGAUAGGGCAGAGUCUGUUAUUUAUGAAACUCACCUGCUUAAAGAUUUUUAAUUUGAUCAAAUAAUUUGCUGAUCAGUUAACCCAGUUUCAUUAUAUUUGCAUACAUGCAGGUGCCUUUUUAAAUUACUUAAUGAAGUCUACAGCAACGUAUUAUUUAAUAAAGGAGUGGUUUAUUUUUGGAAAUCUGUAUUU
This 908-nucleotide long non-coding RNA is filed under the name Pogona vitticeps (central bearded dragon). RNAcentral's name for it is "lncRNA (ENSPVIG00000001771.1)". The record is from RNAcentral. Lineage: Eukaryota; Metazoa; Chordata; Lepidosauria; Squamata; Agamidae.